Molecule: ribosomal RNA, 732 nt
Filed under: Haemophilus sp. HGPR58
Lineage: Bacteria; Pseudomonadati; Pseudomonadota; Gammaproteobacteria; Pasteurellales; Pasteurellaceae
Description: bacterial SSU rRNA
Rfam family: Bacterial small subunit ribosomal RNA
Source: RNAcentral
GUAACAUAAAGAAGCUUGCUUCUUUGAUGACGAGUGGCGGACGGGUGAGUAAUGCUUGGGAAUCUAGCUUAUGGAGGGGGAUAACUACGGGAAACUGUAGCUAAUACCGCGUAGAAUCGGGAGAUGAAAGUGUGGGACCUUCGGGCCACAUGCCAUAGGAUGAGCCCAAGUGGGAUUAGGUAGUUGGUGAGGUAAAGGCUCACCAAGCCGACGAUCUCUAGCUGGUCUGAGAGGAUGACCAGCCACACUGGGACUGAGACACGGCCCAGACUCCUACGGGAGGCAGCAGUGGGGAAUAUUGCGCAAUGGGGGCAACCCUGACGCAGCCAUGCCGCGUGAAUGAAGAAGGCCUUCGGGUUGUAAAGUUCUUUCGGUAGCGAGGAAGGCAUUUAGUUUAAUAGACUAGGUGAUUGACGUUAACUACAGAAGAAGCACCGGCUAACUCCGUGCCAGCAGCCGCGGUAAUACGGAGGGUGCGAGCGUUAAUCGGAAUAACUGGGCGUAAAGGGCACGCAGGCGGUGACUUAAGUGAGGUGUGAAAGCCCCGGGCUUAACCUGGGAAUUGCAUUUCAUACUGGGUCGCUAGAGUACUUUAGGGAGGGGUAGAAUUCCACGUGUAGCGGUGAAAUGCGUAGAGAUGUGGAGGAAUACCGAAGGCGAAGGCAGCCCCUUGGGAAUGUACUGACGCUCAUGUGCGAAAGCGUGGGGAGCAACAGGAUAGAUACCCUGGUA